AGAGUUUGAUCCUGGCUCAGGACGAACGCUGGCGGCGUGCCUAACACAUGCAAGUCGAACGGACGGCGAGGAGCUUGCUCCUCAAAGUUAGUGGCGGACGGGUGAGUAACGCGUGAGUAACCUGCCUUACAGAGGGGGAUAACGUUUGGAAACGAACGCUAAUACCGCAUAAUGUAUCUGAUAUCGCAUGGUAUUGAUACCAAAGAUUUUAUCGCUGUAAGAUGGACUCGCGUCUGAUUAGAUAGUUGGCGGGGUAACGGCCCACCAAGUCGACGAUCAGUAGCCGGACUGAGAGGUUGAACGGCCACAUUGGGACUGAGACACGGCCCAGACUCCUACGGGAGGCAGCAGUGAGGGAUAUUGCACAAUGGGCGCAAGCCUGAUGCAGCAACGCCGCGUGAGGGAUGACGGUUUUCGGAUUGUAAACCUCUGUCUUUGGUGAAGAUAAUGACAUUAGCCAAGGAGGAAGCCACGGCUAACUACGUGCCAGCAGCCGCGGUAAUACGUAGGUGGCGAGCGUUGUCCGGAUUUACUGGGUGUAAAGGGAGCGCAGGCGGGACUGCAAGUCAGUGGUGAAAUGUAUGGGCUUAACCCAUAAACUGCCAUUGAAACUGUAGUUCUUGAGUGAAGUAGAGGCAGGCGGAAUUCCGAGUGUAGCGGUGAAAUGCGUAGAUAUUCGGAGGAACACCAGUGGCGAAGGCGGCUUGCUGGGCUUUUACUGACGCUGAGGCUCGAAAGUGUGGGGAGCAAACAGGAUUAGAUACCCUGGUAGUCCACACUGUAAACGAUGAUUACUAGGUGUGGGAGGUCUGACCCCUUCUGUGCCGCAGUUAACGCAAUAAGUAAUCCACCUGGGGAGUACGGCCGCAAGGCUGAA
Molecule: ribosomal RNA, 877 nt
Filed under: uncultured bacterium
Lineage: Bacteria
Description: bacterial SSU rRNA
Rfam family: Bacterial small subunit ribosomal RNA
Source: RNAcentral